This 777-nucleotide ribosomal RNA is filed under the name uncultured bacterium. Its description in RNAcentral is "bacterial SSU rRNA". It matches the Rfam family "Bacterial small subunit ribosomal RNA", at positions 9 to 783 of the family's 1533-position model. The record is from RNAcentral.
GAGUUUGAUCCUGGCUCAGGAUGAACGCUAGCGGCAGGCUUAACACAUGCAAGUCGAGGGGUAACAUUGGUGCUUGCACCAGAUGACGACCGGCGCACGGGUGAGUAACGCGUAUACAAUCUACCUUAUAUUGGGGGAUAGCCUUUAGAAAUGAAGAUUAAUACCCCAUAGUACCAUUAUAUAUCAUUAUAUUUUGGUUAAAGGUUACGAUAUAAGAUGAGUAUGCGUCCUAUUAGUUUGUUGGUAAGGUAACGGCUUACCAAGACUACGAUAGGUAGGGGCCCUGAGAAGGGGAUCCCCCACACUGGUACUGAGACACGGACCAGACUCCUACGGGAGGCAGCAGUGAGGAAUAUUGGACAAUGGAGGCAACUCUGAUCCAGCCAUGCCGCGUGCAGGAAGACUGCCCUAUGGGUUGUAAACUGCUUUUAUAUAGGAAGAAACGUCCCGAUGUAUCGGGAUUUGACGGUACUAUAAGAAUAAGGACCGGCUAACUCCGUGCCAGCAGCCGCGGUAAUACGGAGGGUCCGAGCGUUAUCCGGAAUCAUUGGGUUUAAAGGGUCCGUAGGCGGGCGUCUAAGUCAGUGGUGAAAUCUUACAGCUCAACUGUAAAAUUGCCAUUGAAACUGGAUGUCUUGAAUUAGUGUGAAGUGGUUAGAAUGUGUAGUGUAGCGGUGAAAUGCAUAGAUAUUACACAGAAUACCAAUUGCGAAGGCAGAUCACUAACACUAUAUUGACGCUGAGGGACGAAAGCGUGGGGAGCGAACAGGAUUAGAU